AUUGAACGCUGGCGGCAUGCUUUACACAUGCAAGUCGAACGGCAGCGCGGGCUUCGGCCUGGCGGCGAGUGGCGAACGGGUGAGUAAUGCAUCGGAACGUGCCCAGUAGUGGGGGAUAGCCCGGCGAAAGCCGGAUUAAUACCGCAUACGACCUGAGGGUGAAAGCGGGGGACCGAAAGGCCUCGCGCUAUUGGAGCGGCCGAUGUCGGAAUAGCUAGGUGGUGGGGUAAAGGCUUACCAAGGCGACGAUCCGUAGCUGGUCUGAGAGGACGACCCGCCACACUGGGACUGAGACACGGCCCAGACUCCUACGGGAGGCAGCAGUGGGGAAUUUUGGACAAUGGGGGCAACCCUGAUCCAGCCCUGCCGCGUGCGGGAAGAAGGCCUUCUGGUUGUAAACCGCUUUUGUUCGGGAAGAAAUCCUCUGGGCUAAUACCCCGGGGGGAUGACGGUACCGGAAGAAUAAGCACCGGCUAACUACGUG
This 484-nucleotide ribosomal RNA is filed under the name uncultured bacterium. RNAcentral's name for it is "partial 16S ribosomal RNA". It matches the Rfam family "Bacterial small subunit ribosomal RNA", at positions 28 to 507 of the family's 1533-position model. The record is from RNAcentral.